RNAcentral lists this ribosomal RNA (374 nucleotides) under uncultured bacterium. RNAcentral describes it as "bacterial SSU rRNA". It matches the Rfam family "Bacterial small subunit ribosomal RNA", at positions 525 to 896 of the family's 1533-position model. The record is from RNAcentral.
ACGUAGGAUGCAAGCGUUGUCCGGAAUUAUUGGGCGUAAAGAGCGCGCAGGCGGUUUUUCAAGUCAGAUGUGAAAUAUCCGGGCUUAACCCGGAGGGGUCAUUUGAAACUGAGGAACUAGAGUACAGCAGAGGAUAGCGGAAUUCCCGGUGUAGUGGUGAAAUGCGUAGAUAUCGGGAGGAACACCAGUGGCGAAGGCGGCUAUCUGGGCUGAAACUGACGCUGAGGCGCGAAGGCUAGGGGAGCAAACAGGAUUAGAUACCCUGGUAGUCCUAGCAGUAAACGAUGGAUACUAGGUGUUGGGGGAAAUUGACCCCCUCAGUGCCGCAGUUAACACAAUAAGUAUCCCGCCUGGGGAGUACGGUCGCAAGAUUA